This 1358-nucleotide small RNA is filed under the name Rattus norvegicus (Norway rat). Its description in RNAcentral is "uncharacterized LOC108352871". Lineage: Eukaryota; Metazoa; Chordata; Mammalia; Rodentia; Muridae. The record is from RNAcentral.
AUGUGGGGAAAGGCCACAUGGCACAGUACAGCAAAGCCACGGGACUGUUGGGAAGGUUUCAGGAGGUGGCAUUGGACUGAGGCAGGAAGCAAACUGGGGCAAGAGUGUUUCACCCAGGCUGAAGGAACUGAAGGAACGGCAGGCUUUGAAGGUUCACAGCAACUACUUAAGAAGCCAGGACACGGAUCCAGAAAGGUAAAAGAUCUCGUCCAAAAGCCACUACAUCAUUCCAGGGGGCAGUGUUAGGUUUUAGAAUGUUUGUUCUCCCUCCCCAGGGUGGCUUCUGCUUUUCCGACCCUGUCAACUGGAUGUUUUCAUGUGAACUUACGGGCCCAAUGGAAUAUGGAUAAAGAUGGCUGGGAGCUGAGGGCACAUGCCUAUGAUCUCCCCCUUCGGAGGGAGAAGCGGGAAGAUUAGGAGUUGGGAAGCCAGACUAUAUCAGAGUUCCUUAUAAACAAAAAUAAAACAAAACAUGACACGCACCACGUCCGGGUCAGGACACGGUUUAACCAUGCCUUUCUUCUCUCUUUGCUGCAAGGGGAAAAUAUCCCAGCAGUGCUCCGGUGAGCACUGAACGUGAACUAGAGUCAGAGGUAGACCCAGCACGGACAGUAACAUUGAGAAGGACGCGGCCUGUUUCAUUAAAUCAAAGCUGACUGCAUAGUGGUGGCAUUUGGAUUAAUUCCAGACCUUCUGAAGGUGUGCUUUCUACAUCGGCUUGUCUUCCAUACAGACAGUACUGAGCUCAUACCCCUGUGUACCCGAACCUGUUCCUGUGAGUUACCUUCUUCCUAAAGUGACAUUUGAGGUCAAAAUGUAUGCCCUCCUCGACAACAGCUAAGUUUGACUUAUGGGAAAUUUACGAAUAUAACACAGAGGUUGUUUGGCAGUAAAGGAGAAUAGAGCUACAGCGUGGAUGAACCGUGACGAGUAGGUGGAGGGAGUCACAAAGCCCACCUGAUCUACGAGUCCAUUGGUGUACAAUGUCCAGAUUAGGCAAAUGUACAAGAACAGAAGGUAGUCUGGUGGCUGCAGGGGGCCUGAGGAAGAUGGGUGUAAGAAGUGGCUGCUUAACGGAGCCCGGUUUCCUCUUGAGGUGAUAAAAAUGUUCUGCAGUUAGAUGUGCAGGCGGUGGUUGCCCAACUCUGAGAGUAUCAUAAAAUCAUUGAAUUGUACAAUUUAAGAGGAUGGGGUUUAUGGCACAUAAAUUAUAUCCCAGUAGAGCUGGAUUCUAAGAGAAAACAGUACAUCGAGUUCUGUGUACCCCUUGCCUAAGUUUCCCUAAUGCUCUCAAUGGGGAAUGACUGGACAAAUUGUACCACAGUUGUACUGUGGAAUAUUAAAAAUGCAGAACAGCA